RNAcentral lists this ribosomal RNA (252 nucleotides) under uncultured bacterium. RNAcentral describes it as "partial 16S ribosomal RNA". It matches the Rfam family "Bacterial small subunit ribosomal RNA", at positions 524 to 776 of the family's 1533-position model. The record is from RNAcentral.
UACGUAGGGGGCGAGCGUUAUCCGGAAUUAUUGGGCGUAAAGAGUACGUAGGUGGUUAUGUAAGCGUGGGGUGAAAGGCAAUGGCUCAACCAUUGUUAGCCUUACGAACUGCAUGGCUUGAGUGCAGGAGAGGAAAGCGGAAUUCCUAGUGUAGCGGUGAAAUGCGUAGAUAUUAGGAGGAACACCAGUGGCGAAGGCGGCUUUCUGGACUGUAACUGACACUGAGGCAUGAAAGCGUGGGUAGCAAACAGG